GAACUGCGAUAAGUAAUGUGAAUUGCAGAAUUCAGUGAUUCAUCGAGUCUUUGAACGCACAUUGCGCCCCCUGGCAUUCCGGGGGGCAUGCCUGUCCGAGCGUCAUUGCUGCCCUUCAAGCCCGGCUUGUGUGUUGGGUCGUCGUCCCCUCCGGGGGACGGGCCCGAAAGGCAGCGGCGGCACCGCGUCCGGUCCUCGAGCGUAUGGGGCUUUGUCACCCGCUCGAUAAGGACCGGCCGGGCGCCAGCCGGCGUCUCCAACCUUUUUUUCUCAGGUUGACCUCGGAUCAGGUAGGGAUACCCGCUGAACUUAAGC
RNAcentral lists this unclassified non-coding RNA (315 nucleotides) under plant metagenome. RNAcentral describes it as "partial contains 5.8S ribosomal RNA, internal transcribed spacer 2, and large subunit ribosomal RNA". The stretch from base 1 to 105 matches the Rfam family "5.8S ribosomal RNA", at positions 50 to 154 of the family's 154-position model. The record is from RNAcentral.